UUUAAAAAAAAAAAAAAUUGAAAAACAUAUAAGACCUAACAAUAUAAAAAGUCAGACAAAAAAUUAAAAAAGAGAAAAGUUAAUGCAAAAUAAAAAAAAGUAUGAGAAUUUAAAAGCGCAAAUAAGAAAUGAAAGGAAAUUUGAGGAAAAAAAGAGACAAAAGAUUUGGAAUAAAAAAUAGAAAAAUAGAAAUUUUAAAACAACAAAAAAAUUAAAACAAGUAAAAAUGAAAGCUUAUGAAAAAAAAAAGCAAAAAGAAGGAAAAUUGUGAAGGGAAAAAGUUAUUAAAAAAUUACAAAGUAGAAAAAAAGAAAAUAAAAAAUAAAUUAAGAGAAAAAAUUAAAUAAAAUACCAAAAAAGGAAAAAAUAAAAAUAAACAAAGUAAGAAAAUAAAAAAUUAGCGAAUCAAAAAAUAUAAAAAGACAAAAUGAAUAAAAAUUUCAAAUAUAAAAUGAAAAAACUUUUGGUUUAGAAUGUACAAAGAAAAAAAAAAAAUAUAACAAACAGAGGAAAAAGAUAUAAAAUAUGAAAGAUGAAAAAUAAAAUAAAAGAAAGUGCACAAAAAAAGAAGUUUGAGGUUUUAAAACUAUAAAGAAGAAAUAAAAAAAGGUGUGAACAAAAAGAUUUAAAAAAAAAAUGAAAAUACAAAAUAUAUAAAAUAAAAUUUGAGAAAAAGAAGAAAAAAUAAAAAAUGAAGAGGCAAAAAUAUGAAAUAAAAGAAAAAGAAAAAAAUUUAUAGAAAAUUUUAAAACAAAGAAAAAAGUGAACAAAAAAGAAUGAUGGCAUAUAAAAAAAAGUAAAAAAAAGAAGAAAAAUUUGGAAGGAGAAAAAGUUAAUGAAAAAAAUAUAAAAAUGCAAUAGAAAAUAACCAAGAAUGAUAAAAGAAAAAAAGAUAAAAAAAUUAAAAAUUCCAAAACUUUAUAAAAAUUUAUGAAAUUAUGAAUAAAGAAAGAAAAUAAAAUAAGAAAAAAAAUUAAAGCAAAAGAAAAAAGAUAGAUAAAGCACGAAAAAAAAAAAAAAAACAAAAAAUUAAAAAGUAAGAAAAUGAAAAGGACAAAAUUGAAUAAAAAUUUCAAAAAUGAAAUGGAAUGACAAAAUGAAAAAAAAUUAGUUUAAAAAUACAAAAAAUUAAAAAACAUAUAAGACCAAACAAUCUAAAAAGUCUGACAAAAAAUUAAAAAAGAGAAAAGUUAAUGCAAAAUAAAAAAAAAAAAGUAUGAGAAUUUAAAAACGCAAAUAAGAAAUGAAAGGAAAUUUGUGGAAAAAAGAGAAAAGACAAAAGAUUUGGAAUAAAAAAGAGAAAAAUAAAAAUUUUUAAAACAGCGAAAAAAUUAAAAAAAAGCAAAAAGAAGGAAAAUUGCAAAGGGAAAAAGUUAUUAAGAAAUUACAAAGUAGAAAAAAAUAAAUUAAGAGAAAAAAUUAAAUAAAAUACCAAAAAAGGAAAAAAUAAAAAAUUAGCGAAUCAAAAAAAUAUAAAAAGACAAAAUGAAUAAUCAAAUAUAAAAUGGAAAAAACUUUUAGUUUAUAAUUUACAAAGAAAAAGAAAAAAAAUAACAAAUAGAGGAAAAAGAUAUAAAAUAAAGAUGAAAAAUAAAAUAAAAGAAAGUGCACAAAAAAAUAAGUUUGAGGUUUUAAAGUUAUAAAGAAGAAAAAAAAAAGGUGUGAACAAAAAGAUUUAAGAAAAAAAUAAAAAAUGAAAAUACAAAAUAUAUAAAAUAAAAUUUGAGAAAAAGAAGAAAAAAAUAAAGAAUGAAGAGGCAAAAAUAUGAAAUAAAACAAAAAGAAAAAAAUUUAUAGAAAAUUUUAAAACAAAGAAAAACCUGAACGAAAAAGAAUGAAAGCACAUAAAAAAAAGUAAAAAAAAGAAGAAAAAUUAUAAAAAUGCAACAGAAAAUAACCAAGAAUGAUAAAAGAAAAAAAGAUAGAAAAAAAAAAAUUCCAAAACUUUAUAAAAAUUUAUGAAAUUAUGAAUAAAGAAAGAAAAUAAAAUAAGAAAAAAAAUUAAAGCAAAAGAAAAAAGAUAGAUAAAGCACGAAAAAAGAAAAAAAACAAAAAUACAAAAAAUUAUAAAAAGUAAGAAAAUGAAAAAGGACAAAAAUUGAAUAAAAAUUUCAAAAAUGAAAUGGAAUGACAAAAUGAAAAAAAAAUUAGUUUAAAAAAUACAAAAAAUUAAAAAACAUAUAAGACCAAACAAUCUAAAAAGUCUGAAAAAAAUUAAAAAAGAGAAAAGUUAAUGCAAAAUAAAAAAAAAAGUAUGAGAAUUUAAAAACGCAAAUAAGAAAUGAAAGGAAAUUUGUGGAAAAAAAAAGAAAAGACAAAAGAUUUGGAAUAAAAAAGAGAAAAAUAAAAAUUUUUAAAACAACGAAAAAAUUAAAAAAAGUAAAAAUGAAAACAUAUGGAAAAAAAAAAGCAAAAAGAAGGAAAAUUGCAAAGGGAAAAAUUAUUAAAAAUUUACAAAGAAAAAAAAAUUAGGGAAUCAAAAAAUAUAAAAGGAAAAAAUAAAAAUAAACAAAGUAAGAAAAUAAAAAUUAGGGAAUCAAAAAAUAUAAAAAGACAAAAUGAAUAAAAAUUUCAAAUAUAAAAAGAAAGUGCACAAAAAAGAAGUUUGAGGUUUUAAAAUUACAAAGAAGAAAUAAAAAAAGGUGUGAACAAAAAGAUUUAAGAAAAAAAUAACAAAUGAAAAUAUAAAAUAUAUAAAAAAAAAUAUUUGAGAAAAAAAAUGGAAAAAGAAGAAAAAAUAAAAAAUGAAGAGGCAAAAAUAUGAAAUAAAACAAAAAGAAAAAAAUACAAAAAAAGGACAAAAAUUGAAUAAAAAUUUCAAAAAUGAAAUGGAAUGACAAAAUGAAAAAAAAUUAGUUUAAAAAAUAAAAAAAAAUUGAAAAACAUAUAAGUCCUAACAAUAUAAAAAUUCAGACAAAAAAUUAAAAAGAAAAAGUUAAUGCAAAAUAAAAAAAGUAUGAGAAUUUAAAAAUGCAAAUAAGAAAUGAAAGGAAAUUUGUGGAAAAAAAAGAGAAGCAAGAAAAGACAAAAGAUUUGGAAUAAAAAAUAGAAAAAUAAAAAUUUUUAAAACAACGAAAAAAUGAAAGCAUAUGAAAAAAAAGUAAAAAGAAGGAAAAUUGUGAAGGGAAAAAGUUAUUAAAAAAUUACAAAG
This 3151-nucleotide long non-coding RNA is filed under the name Durio zibethinus. RNAcentral describes it as "long non-coding RNA (DZIB_LNC001642)". Lineage: Eukaryota; Viridiplantae; Streptophyta; Magnoliopsida; Malvales; Malvaceae. The record is from RNAcentral.